CCUACGGGAGGCAGCAGUAGGGAAUCUUUCACAAUGGGCGAAAGCCUGAUGGAGCAACGCCGCGUGCAGGAUGAAGGCCUUCGGGUUGUAAACUGCUUUUAUAAGCGAGAAAUAUGAUGGUAACUUAUGAAUAAGGAUCGGCUAACUACGUGCCAGCAGCCGCGGUCAUACGUAGGAUCCGAGCAUUAUCCGGAGUGACUGGGUGUAAAGAGUUGCGUAGGUGGCAUAAUAAGUAGCUAGUGAAAUCUGGUGGCUCAACCAUUCAGACUAUUAGCUAAACUGUUAAGCUCGAGACCGUUAGGGGUAACUGGAAUUUCUAGUGUAGGAGUGAAAUCCGUAGAUAUUAGAAGGAACACCAAUAGCGUAGGCAGGUUGCUGGGACGGUUCUGACACUAAGGCACGAAAGCAUAGGGAGCAAACGGGAUUAGAUACCCCUGUAGUC
This 442-nucleotide ribosomal RNA is filed under the name uncultured bacterium. Its description in RNAcentral is "partial 16S ribosomal RNA". It matches the Rfam family "Bacterial small subunit ribosomal RNA", at positions 338 to 795 of the family's 1533-position model. The record is from RNAcentral.